UACGUAGGUGGCAAGCGUUGUCCGGAAUUAUUGGGCGUAAAGCGCGCGCAGGUGGUUUCUUAAGUCUGAUGUGAAAGCCCACGGCUCAACCGUGGAGGGUCAUUGGAAACUGGGGAACUUGAGUGCAGGAGAGAAGAGUGGAAUUCCACGUGUAGCGGUGAAAUGCGUAGAGAUGCGGAGGAACACCAGUGGCGAAGGCGACUCUUUGGCCUGUAACUGACACUGAGGCGCGAAAGCGUGGGGAGCAAACAGG
This 253-nucleotide ribosomal RNA is filed under the name uncultured bacterium. RNAcentral's name for it is "partial 16S ribosomal RNA". It matches the Rfam family "Bacterial small subunit ribosomal RNA", at positions 524 to 776 of the family's 1533-position model. The record is from RNAcentral.